RNAcentral lists this ribosomal RNA (250 nucleotides) under uncultured bacterium. RNAcentral's name for it is "partial 16S ribosomal RNA". It matches the Rfam family "Bacterial small subunit ribosomal RNA", at positions 796 to 1041 of the family's 1533-position model. The record is from RNAcentral.
CACGCCGUAAACGAUGAGUACUAGGUGUAGGGGGUAUCGACCCCCCCUGUGCCGCAGUAAACACAAUAAGUACUCCGCCUGGGAAGUACGAUCGCAAGAUUAAAACUCAAAGGAAUUGACGGGGACCCGCACAAGCAGCGGAGCAUGUGGUUUAAUUCGAAGCAACGCGAAGAACCUUACCAGGUCUUGACAUCCAACUAACGAAGCAGAGAUGCAUCAGGUGCCCUUCGGGGAAAGUUGAGACAGGUGG